GAGGGUGGCAACAUUUUAUUCUUUUUAACUAUUCAUACCCUUGUGUGAAAUAUGUCCAUCUGACACCUAUCUGGUAACAGGUGCUUCAGGAAAAAGGAAAGCACCUUAGGUUAAUGAGAUCCAUGAAUAAGUGGGAACAGCAAGCAAUAGCAAAUGGUGGCAGAAUGGGGGGGUGGCAGCGGAGGGGGCUGGCCCAGGCCAUCGCAGUCAGACUCGGCCCUCUUUGCCCAGCCCUCAAGUGCGUGAAGACCCCACGAGGGCAUUUUUGCUCAGCAUACCUAUGGUCCCUACUGGACCCGCGUUGCUGCCUGGUGUGCCGCCUGUGGGCUUAAAGAAACAAAGCUCCCAGGAUUGUGCAGGUGGAGUCAACUACGAGGAAGUGGCUUUUGUGCAGUGGCUGAGACGUCCAGGAUGUGCCUCUGACCAGCUGGGGCCCCGGGAGUGGCAUUGCAGUCCCAGGCCAUGUCCAAGGGCUCAAAACCAGGGCGGCUGCCGGUGUGACUCCAGGGUGAGUCCAAGUCUGAGGCAGGAGGAGACCAGUGGCUGAGCAAGAGGAUGCUUCCCUGCUCAGCUUUUUAUUCUGUUCAGCACUGCCCCCUCCGCCCCCGACUGGAUGAGCUCCUCUGGAGGGCUGCCUGGGAACCGGCCCACUGAGUCCCAUAUUAAUCUCAUCCAGAAAUACCCUGGCGACCACCCAGUGACCCGGGCGCUCGGUGGCCCAGUCAGGCUGACCUGUAAAAUUCACCGCCCCCCUGGCAGCAGCUGUCGUCAAACACAGCUCUUUAGCUGCUUGUGCCCAAGCUAUUCUCCCUUCGACGCCAGACACUGAGGGGGGGACAGCUCUUCCCUACGUGGCACCCCCAGCUUCCAUCAGCUCAGGCCGGCUCCAAGGUAUAAACAGUCAAACUCACAGGUGUGGGCCCAAUAUAAAGAAACCACGGCGUUUCUCUGAUUACACAGGUGUGUCCCCCACGGAGGACCGCGAGCACUGAGGUGGGGGCCUACUGGCCACUGCAUUCCCGGUGCUUAGUGUGCAGUUUGACGCGUAGUAGGAGCUCAGAUAAUGCGUGACCCAGGAAGGCAUGAGUCAGUGAGAGAACAGAGUCACCUGUGCCUCCCAGCUGCCGGGCUGCCUCCGCGGCCCCUGGAGCCGCCUGAAAACCAUGCUUAACCUCUGCUCAGCAUCUGAAACAAGCUUUACAUUUUCUUCAGAGUCAAGAAGCUUCGUUUGCAAAAUCCCAGCCUCCCCUGUUUUCACCGUGUUAUCCCUGCAGGGAUCCAGAAACUCCCCGACCCCAGCGCAGCCCUGGGUGGGGGGAGCCAGGAAGACGCUGCAGUCAUGGCCAUGACCGUCCUGAGGAGCCUGCGACGCUCUGGGCUUUUCCCGGAGGAUCCGAUGGAAACGUCGCAGCCGGCAAGCCUGCUGGGCUGCCAGGUCUGCCCUAAUUCUGUGAGGCGGGCUUCCAGAACGAUCUAGAGAAGGGGGAGACCCAGUCCAAGGUCAUCCCUUGCGAGCGUCUCUGCUUUCAGGGUCUCGGUUUUGCUUGUGAGGACCAGGGAUAGUCGCAGGAGUGGGGAGCUCACACCCCCUCCACUCCCCGGGGGGCGGGGCACGGGGAAACCACGCCCCCAGUUCAUCCCAGUUAGUCUUCGUUGGGUGGAGCUGAGCUCCAGCAUCAGAACUGCUUUCCCGGGGGCGCCCUGGUGGGCUAGCGGGUAGGAUCCCUGCUUUCACUGCUGCGCUCCCCCCUCCCCCCCGUUCAAUCUGGGAACUGAGAUCCCGCACCAAGUUGCUGCACCCUGUGACCAGAAAAGAGAGAAAAAAUCGCUUUCAGAUCCUUGCUUGCGCCCUUACAGGGCUGACACCAAAAUGUGGCUUCGCCAGGGGCUAGUGACCCGUGCUUCUCUCCGUCUUCAGGCUAAUUGCCAACGACAAUCGGAAGCAUCAUGGUAACAAACAGAUGGAAUAGGCUUGACCCUACGCCACGUGUGACUAUAACCUUCAUUGAAAUACUUGGUAUUUUUGAUGUUCACAAGCUGAGGGGACAGUAUGCUUGUUGUGUAAACACAGUUUCAACCAGAACAGUCAUCCUAAGAGCCCAAAGCAGGCCACCUCCCUGGGCCCUUCUGUGCGGAAAUUCCAGAGCCUCUGCUGGCCCGUGACUGUCUUCCGUAAGCCCGUUUCCUCCUCUGCUGAAACAGUAAAGGCUACCCAGUCGCUGAGUACUUUCUGUUUUCCAGGCACCGAGCUGGAUGUUUGCAUGGGAUUGCCUCACUGAACUGUCAUAGCGACAGUAUCAAGUCAGUUCUUAGCUCUCUGUGCCCCGGGCUCUCAGCUGUAAGGUGGAGAUGAUCGUGCUGCCUCUUGGAGCAGGAGUAGAGGUUGAAAGAGGCGGUGGUGUCGAGCGCUCGGCCCUGAUAGUACCAAGAAAUGGAGGUGAUGUGAUGUGAGCGAGGCUGCAGGUGAGCGGUGGAGGGAGAGGAGGAGGAGGAGAUCCUGGCUCCCGCGGGCAGAGGCUCUGGCUGCUCUUGGGCUCUCUUCAGCAACCUGAAUCGAUGCCAACCUUCCACUGGGCUCCCCUGUUGGUGUGGGGGGUGUGCCCUGCUGGCUGCUCCAAAGCUUUCCACUGGGCUUUGCAGGCUCCGCGAUAAGGCAUGUGGCACUGGAAAGAAACAGAACCUGCAGACCCUUCAGAGGCUCGGCCUUCUCCUCGGCGGACUGGGCUGCUGGGCAGAGGUGUAGGAGACCCUGGCUGCUCCUCCGUGCUGCUGUCACAUUCCCAGUAACCCUCCCCCGUCCUCCACUGGGUACCCACCUCCCAUGCUUCAGGACUCGCUUCUCUCUCUCCUCCUGCCCUGUGAAUCCCUCCAGGGCAAAACCCCUGUUCUGCUCUUGCGAUCUAGUCCAGCCAGCUCCUGACUUCUGCAGGAGCUCAGGUAAUACCUGAGGGAGGGGAAGGGAAGGUGGGAAGGCGGUGAGGGAGGCCAGAGGGGACGGAGCAGCCCCAGCCUCCUGAACAAGCUGCGCUCGGCAGCAAGCCGUUCCCCACGUUUCCCACUGUCGCCUCCUUCCUCUCCAUCGUUCCCAGUCCAUCCAUGUCACCUCCAUGUCACCUCCUCACUCCCACGUGCAUCCACAUCACCCCCUAGUGCCCCGCCCCAACACCCUUCCUCAGGGAGCCCCCAGGCAGCACACGGACACAGUCACACUCUGUCUUCUGUCCCUGCUUUGCCUACUUCCUGGCUCUUCGUCACCUGCAAUUCUUUCAGCUGCUUGCUGGUUGUCGUCUGUCCCCUGCACUAGAAUGAAGCUCCGGGAGGUACCACAGCUUCGUGUCUGAAACGGUGCCUGGCUCGUGGGAAGUGUUCAUGAGCUUCGAUGGAAUGACUAAAUGGAGGAGAAGCGGGAAGGGAGGGUCCCCCCUCCCUUUUGCCCCAUUAAAUACACUUUAAAAUGUGGCGUGUGGGGAGUUUUCCUGUGGCUCAGCAGGUUAAGGAUCCAGCAUUGUCGCUGCCGUGGGUCAGGUGGCUGCUGCGGCGUGGGUUCCAUCCCUGGCCCAGGAACUUCCACAUGCAGUGGGCGUGGCCAAAAAAAGUGGCCAUGGGCACCUCCCCAGGGGAAAAGCAAGUGUUCUUCUGCCCUCUGUGACCUGCUCCUGGUCUUCCGUGUAGACUGCGGGGUCCCAAGGCACCCGGGUGGGAAAACAGGUGAGGGAACGGGCUCUGGUCCUGAGACCGUCCCAACCCCACGGCCGUGUGCAGCCAAGGACGGGCUGAGCCUCUGGAGGGUGAGGGGACCUUCACGGACCCUAAAGCCGAGGUCAAGGUCACUUUAGGUCCACGGUGGCCAGGGAGCUGGCGGCCUGGUGAGGGCCUGGAGCUGGACCCGGGAAGCCAGGCGAGGCUGCAAGGCUGCUCCUCAUCCGCCUGCACGGUCCUCCUUUCUCCUUCAGCCUGGCACCUGCUUCCUUCCCCCUCUCAGCGCAGACUCUGCCCAGGCACCAAACGCGCUGCUUGAGAGGCUCAGAGGCCCAUCUCUCAAUUUCACGGGCAGCGUCUAAAGGGUCCAGGGUGGGUCACAUGUCUACACCUCUUCCGGUCAGCUGUGAGUGCGGUGGGGGCCACACUGUAUGGACAUGGCAGCUGGCUCAGGGUUCAGAGAAGAGGUGCGUGGCUGGGGGUCACCCCAAGAGACAUCUGCCUUGGGCAGCAGGUGUUGGGCUCCAGGCUCCAACCGUAUCUGAGAAGCAGUUUUUGUCAUUUCCUUUCACCUGUCCAGCUAUUUCCCACAAUCGCCCCACAAUCGCCCAGCACUGGAAGCUCAGGAUCUAAGAGGCUGCUCUCAGAGAUAGCUGCUGGGUCACUUGGGCACUGAACACGCGUUUCCAGUGUCAGAGGACCUAAAGCACAAUCAGCGACAGAGAAACAGUUAUCGCCCUAAGGUGGCCUUAAGCCAAAUGCUACGGAUGUCCGUGGGCGACUUUCCACCUUCCUCUUUUUGCUCCUGGGCCUGAGAAAACAAUUCCUGGAAUGUACCCACUGAGGCCAACCGCCCCAACCAAACAAGAGAGUGUAUCUUGUGUGGACCCAAAAUGCACCUUUCCGUGGGGAAUUGUGAGGCCAGCUCGCACAGCCUUCUGCUUUCUCGAUGACUCCUUCUGACUCACCCAGGUAGCUGUCUGGCUCUUUAGCCCAGGGGUAUGGGAUCCAAGAUGACAGCAGGUGAGAUCACACUUUGGGUUUUUGGAACACUUGGUAUCUUUCAACUGAUUUGCCUUUGAGCAAACUUCUCUCAUUGUGGGGAGCCUGUUCGAUGGUUCAAGGCCUGAGGAGGGGGCUAGCGACAAGGUGGCCCCAGAAGAGGAUCUGCUCUGCCCUUUAAUGUGAGGCCUUCACAACUAUGGACAGAGGCGUAUUUCCUAAUAAUGCAGAUGUGUGUCAGUCAUUGUCCUGCCUCCUUGCAAGGUUUGGGGCCAGUUCUGCCUUGUCACAUGGUACCUGCCCAGUACCUGCCCAGGUACUCCUCCAGGAAGACUUCCGUGGUUUGUGCGAAGAGUCCUGGGCUGGUGGAAGAGAGCUUUGCACGUGGAGAGGGUGCAGCCGAGAGCCACACAGAAUCCUGCGGCACAGGCGCUGGCCUCGGGACCUAGCUGAUGGCCACUGUGAGCGCAGCCCGCGAGCAUCCUCAGCACAGGUGCACAGGUCGUCUCAUCUGGGGUCCGGGGUGCGAGCACAGCCGUCUCUCUUCCUGUCCUCCAGGGCCCCUCUCUCCCCAUCCCGCGGUCUGUGGACGCCAGGAGAGGAGGGGGAGACCCCCCUUUGCAAGUCUGCAGUUAUGCGCCCGCCUCUUUCUGUCUUACACCUUUACCAGUGACUUUGGAACUUAAAAACUACAAAUUUGCCUCCUUUAUUCUCUGGUUUAAGAAUGGGACCUUCCCCCAAAGCAGUGGAGGACUCCUAGCUAGUUCUUGGCUAAGACAAAGACCCUCAGGGGGCAAGUGAAUAAAAUCAGAGAGCCCAGAACAGGAAGUAAGGAGCAGGGAUGGGUGGACAUUGGGGGGAUGUGAGAGCACAGAAAUAAUUCUUUAAAGUACUACCCCUCCCCGUGGGAGCCAGGCACUGUGUUCUGAAUACGAGGCUUGUUAUGACGGCGUUGUGUGCUCCCGUUCUCCUGGUUUCAUGAAGGCCGUAGACAGACACGCGAACCUUGAAGGGAGGACAAAGCACGAAAAAUACCAGCACCGUUCAAGAGAAAUGCAAUGUGACUCACGUAGGGAAUUUUACAUUUUUUAAAAACAAGUGAAAUGAGACAAGUGACAUUAAUUUUAAUGAUAUAGUGUGUUGAACCCCAUGUAUCUGUAAGAGCACCAUGUCAAUGUGUGAUCAAUAAAAACAUUAACAAGGA
Molecule: non-coding RNA, 5905 nt
Organism: Sus scrofa (pig)
Lineage: Eukaryota; Metazoa; Chordata; Mammalia; Artiodactyla; Suidae
Source: RefSeq, a predicted model, not a curated record